Non-coding RNA from Lonchura striata (white-rumped munia), 843 nucleotides. NCBI's taxonomy places the organism in Eukaryota, Metazoa, Chordata, Aves, Passeriformes, Estrildidae. The record is from RefSeq and is a predicted model, not a curated record.
GAGGUUGGGCUGGCUGGGAUUUUGUUCCAUCCUGGAGCAACAAAUCCCACAGGAUUUUGUGGGUUUGGGGAGGUUUAAUUGGGGAUACACAAAUAUUCCCAGAACAAGUCACAGGGAUGUAACUCCAUGAGGGAAAAGGAGGAGAAGAUUUUAGCCAAAAUCCAAGGAUUUUGAAUGAAGAAAGUUCUCAGAAAUUAAGGAUGCUGUUUUCUUCCCCAUUUAUGGAAUUUGAACCCUGGCAAGGCUGGGCCACCUUGCAGAGGAAGACAGGGACUGGCAACCUGGGACCUGGAUGGUUCUUCCAACCUGGAGCAAAAAGCCCAAAGGAAAUGACCUGGCUUGUCGAUUGUGUGGUUUUGGGCCUGUGUGGGCCCAGCAGCGCCCUCAGGGCUGGGCCCGGUCACCACAGGGACCUGGAGCUUGGGAGGUCUGAGGUAAAAAAUCCCAUUUUCUGUAAAUAUCCCAAAUUCCUGCUGCUCCCUCUUCUCAAAGACUGAGCUUCUGUUUCCUGGGGUUUCCCUCAGCCUCUCCUGUUUGCUUUUUGGGGUUUUUUUUUGCUGCAUUUCCAGGCCAAACUCCAGGAAUGUUCCAGGCCUUUCCUCCCACCUGGAAUUCUUCUUGGGAUUGGGAAAUUCUUGGAAGUUUUUCCACUUUUUCCUCAGCUGCCCCAGGGUGGAUUUGUCCGUCCUGUCUGUGUUUCCUGCUGGGAAAUGAGAAAAAGCUGCAAUUCACCUUUUUUCCCCUCAGUUUUGUACUUCAUCCUUCCUUUGGGAAUAAAAAUUGGAAUUUUCUUCCAGUUUUUUCCUUCCAGUUUUUUUUCCUUUCUAUUUCAGCACCAAAACA